AUGAGGAGUCGGACCUGCCCAGUGAGGAUUAAAACUUUAACGGCCGCGGUACUCUGACCGUGCAAAGGUAGCAUAAUCAUUUGCCUUAUAAUUGAAGGCUAGUAUGAAUGGUUUGAUAAGAAUGCGACUGUCUCUUUAUAACUUUAUAGAACUUUAUUUUAAGGUGAAGAAGCCUUAAUUUAAUUAAUAGACAAGAAGACCCUAUCGAGCUUUAAAGAAAUUAGUAGAAAUUAAGAUUAAUAAUUAUAAAAAUUUAACUACUAAAAAUUUUAGUUGGGGCGACUGAGGAACAGAAAAAGCUUCCUUUAAAUAUAUUAGACAUUCAGGUAUUGAUCCAAAAUUUUUGAUUAAAGGAAUUAGUUACCGUAGGGAUAACAGCAUUAUCUUUUUUGAGAGCUCCUAUCGAAAAAAAAGUUUGUGACCUCGAUGUUGGACCAGAAUAUCCUAAAGAUGUAGAAGUCUUUAAGGGUUGGUCUGUUCGACCAUUAAAAUUCUA
RNAcentral lists this ribosomal RNA (496 nucleotides) under Clavatula xanteni. RNAcentral's name for it is "partial 16S ribosomal RNA". It matches the Rfam family "Bacterial large subunit ribosomal RNA", at positions 1845 to 2598 of the family's 2925-position model. Lineage: Eukaryota; Metazoa; Mollusca; Gastropoda; Neogastropoda; Clavatulidae. The record is from RNAcentral.